UGUAUGAGAUCUUCCCUUUGACGCAAGCCCAUGUAAACACACCAUACCAUGGGAUCACUUGAUCCCUCUCGGUACAUCUUGUAUGCUUUGUGUGUUGAUCAUCUUGAUUUACUCUUUGUCUGAGAUCUUGAUCAACCAUGUUUCUCUAUGACCAUUCUUUGGAUAAUACCUUGAGUACCAUCUUGGUCAUCAUAUAAACUC
Molecule: long non-coding RNA, 201 nt
Filed under: Hordeum vulgare
Lineage: Eukaryota; Viridiplantae; Streptophyta; Magnoliopsida; Poales; Poaceae
Description: long non-coding RNA (HVUL_LNC006595)
Source: RNAcentral